Molecule: long non-coding RNA, 703 nt
Filed under: Capra hircus (goat)
Lineage: Eukaryota; Metazoa; Chordata; Mammalia; Artiodactyla; Bovidae
Description: lncRNA (ENSCHIG00000005113.1)
Source: RNAcentral
AUCACAAUUUGGCUUUUUGUCCAAAACUCAUGAAUGUGGAUCUUCACAAAUACCAGAGAGAGAGAUUAGAAAGAGUGAAUCUGACCCCCAGAAUCAAGGCUGGUCUUUAUUUAGAGCUGGGAGACCUGGGGAGAGCAGAGGCAAAGGUGGGAACAUCAAGUCCUGAGGAGGAGACGUAAGCCAAGAGUCAACAUCAUUGAGGGUGAUUUGGAGUCUGAGACAAAGGUUGCACCAUGGGCUGAUAAAAGCUGACAAUUCCAGACACCUAAAAUAGAGAACUAAGAUCUUGCAAGCUGCACGGUGCAGCAGAAAAAGAAAAAAAGACAUGUCUUUGCUCCUGACUGGGGAAAGGAAAGAAAAUCUGAAAUGCUUUUCUUCUCCAUGGAGGAUGGAGAUAUUUCUCUUCAUCCAAAAUGAAAUGAGUGGAACUUGGAAUGGCUACAUCACUCCCAGCCUGCCUGUGAUACAUAUCAAAGAUGCCUGGAUCUGAACUGGACAGAGGCAGAGUGCAGUAGUAAUAAAUCGAUUUUGGCCUUCAUUUUUGCUUCUCUGAAAGGAGACAUACAUUUGGUCCAUUGUUUACCUCCUUAAAAGAAAUAAAGUGUGGUCACAACUCAUCUGAGAACCUGCAAUCUAUUGCUAAGCCUAUUGCUAUUCUUUUUAAGAAAGAUGAAUCAGAGAGCUUUGAGGGGAAGAGGGGGCA